Long non-coding RNA from Sebastes umbrosus (honeycomb rockfish), 191 nucleotides. RefSeq lists it as uncharacterized. NCBI's taxonomy places the organism in Eukaryota, Metazoa, Chordata, Actinopteri, Perciformes, Sebastidae. The transcript has 3 exons. The record is from RefSeq and is a predicted model, not a curated record.
GAGUUGUCAGGGAGAAGACCCGGAACAUACUGAAAGUUCUUGAUCAAAGCCUCGAGGUGAAUCAAAAAAGAGAGUGUCUGCUGAAGUGCCUUAUUCUGUACCUUGGGGAAGACGUGGACAAACUUAUCAAGGAGUAUCUGGUUGUGCAGAAGGAUGAAGCUGAAACCGAGCUUGAGAGGUGUACAAUGGCA